GGUCCUACGGGAGGCAGCAGUGGGGAAUAUUGCACAAUGGGGGAAACCCUGAUGCAGCGACGCCGCGUGAGUGAAGAAGUAUUUCGGUAUGUAAAGCUCUAUCAGCAGGGAAGAAAAUGACGGUACCUGACUAAGAAGCCCCGGCUAACUACGUGCCAGCAGCCGCGGUAAUACGUAGGGGGCAAGCGUUAUCCGGAUUUACUGGGUGUAAAGGGAGCGUAGACGGCAGCGCAAGUCUGAAGUGAAAACUAUGGGCUUAACCCAUAGCCUGCUUUUGAAACUGUUUUUCUUGAGUGAAGUAGAGG
RNAcentral lists this ribosomal RNA (305 nucleotides) under uncultured bacterium. Its description in RNAcentral is "bacterial SSU rRNA". It matches the Rfam family "Bacterial small subunit ribosomal RNA", at positions 335 to 657 of the family's 1533-position model. The record is from RNAcentral.